GAAAGAUCGGACCCGCUACUGUCCGAUUGGGCAAGGAAAUAAUAGCCCCAAUCAA
This 55-nucleotide non-coding RNA is filed under the name Butyrivibrio sp. NC2002. The record is from RNAcentral. Lineage: Bacteria; Bacillati; Bacillota; Clostridia; Lachnospirales; Lachnospiraceae.